UCUCUGGCGCUGUGAGGCAGCAGUGCUAACCACUGUGCCACCGUGCCGUCCUUCUGUAUGUUUGUAUCAAUCUUGCUUUUAGAUUGGAUGAGAUGAUCAAUAUUGAAUUAUUGAUAAAAAGCUCAAAAUCAAUAAAGCAGUACAGUAUCCAUCAAAUCCCACAACACUAAUACCAGAACUGGUAACUUGAAACUCAAGUUACUAUUUUAUGAUCAUUUGAUCAGCACAGCUUGAGCAGAAUCAUCUGCUGUUUGAUUUGCCAGAUAAUAUCUUAUCCCUCACCCUCGCCAACUUCAGUGCUAAAAGCUUUUUAAUGUUUUGGCACUUUUUUUUGAGACCAGAUGAUCUGUACCAGAAUGUACUGAAGGAAUACAGCAGGCAAGGAUGUCCCGAGGCAUGGUAUAUGGGUGAGUCCAUGCAGAUGCUACAAAGACGGAUGACUGGACACCACGCAACAAUUGCCAGACAAGAGAUUUCCCUUCCACUUGAGGAACACUUCAGUAGUCAAGGACAUUCAGCCUCCGGCCUUUGGGGGAAACAAUGGCACUUUAAAAAGGAGGAAAACAGACAAAGCCAGUGACCACACAGUCGGAGAAAGAAUCCUAUACUGCUGUCUGACACAGCAGUGAAUCUGCACAAUUACUGCCUUUGCUGUUUGACUUCAAAUAUCUCUGGACAACAGAGUGUAUCUAGGAAAAAUCAACAAACAGUGAAAUUCAUAGCUGACCUUGGAGAAAUCUGUAUAGGAAAGCUCACAGCACAGGAAAAGAUAAGUACAUAGUUUCUAAAUGAAACCUUGCUGUAAAUCUACAGUACUGAGUGGGUUCUUUCUAGAUAAGACGUUUAAUUGAAAUCUGUCUCUUGUUUUCAGACACAACCACCUGAUGAAGGAGCAGCACUCU
This is a non-coding RNA of Chiloscyllium plagiosum (whitespotted bambooshark), 902 nucleotides long. The record is from RefSeq and is a predicted model, not a curated record. NCBI's taxonomy places the organism in Eukaryota, Metazoa, Chordata, Chondrichthyes, Orectolobiformes, Hemiscylliidae.